Molecule: non-coding RNA, 79 nt
Organism: Megalops atlanticus (tarpon)
Lineage: Eukaryota; Metazoa; Chordata; Actinopteri; Elopiformes; Megalopidae
Source: the annotation of a GenBank genome assembly
AGCAGUGUAGCAUAGUGGUUAAUGAGUAGUACUUGUAAUGGAAAGGUUGCCAGUUCAAUUCCCCACAGGGACACUGCUG